This 65-nucleotide transfer RNA is filed under the name Dictyophorus spumans. RNAcentral describes it as "tRNA-Phe". It matches the Rfam family "tRNA". From Rfam's summary of the family: Transfer RNA (tRNA) molecules are approximately 80 nucleotides in length. Their secondary structure includes four short double-helical elements and three loops (D, anti-codon, and T loops). Further hydrogen bonds mediate the characteristic L-shaped molecular structure. tRNAs have two regions of fundamental functional importance: the anti-codon, which is responsible for specific mRNA codon recognition, and the 3' end, to which the tRNAs corresponding amino acid is attached (by aminoacyl-tRNA synthetases). tRNAs cope with the degeneracy of the genetic code in two manners: having more than one tRNA (with a specific anti-codon) for a particular amino acid; and 'wobble' base-pairing, i.e. permitting non-standard base-pairing at the 3rd anti-codon position. The record is from RNAcentral. Lineage: Eukaryota; Metazoa; Arthropoda; Insecta; Orthoptera; Pyrgomorphidae.
ACUCAAAUAGCUUAAUUUUAGAGUAUAACAUUGAAGAUGUUAGGGUAGGUAUAUACUUUUGAGUA